UUUGGCCUACGGGAGGCAGCAGUCGGGAAUAUUGCGCAAUGGAGGAAACUCUGACGCAGUGACGCCGCGUAUAGGAAGAAGGUCUUCGGAUUGUAAACUAUUGUCGUUAGGGAAGAGAAAGGACAGUACCUAAGGAGGAAGCUCCGGCUAACUACGUGCCAGCAGCCGCGGUAAUACGUAGGUGGCGAGCGUUAUCCGGAAUGAUUGGGCGUAAAGGGUGCGUAGGCGGCCUGCUAAGUCUGGAGUGAAAGGUACCGGCUCAACCGGUACAGGCUCUGGAAACUGGCGGGCUAGAGAGCAGGAGG
Molecule: ribosomal RNA, 305 nt
Filed under: uncultured bacterium
Lineage: Bacteria
Description: bacterial SSU rRNA
Rfam family: Bacterial small subunit ribosomal RNA
Source: RNAcentral